UCGCCGCCCGUGACUCGGAAAAAAGUCCAUUGAACCUUAUCAUUUAGAGGAAGGAGAAGUCGUAACAAGGUUUCCGUAGGUGAACCUGCGGAAGGAUCAUUG
This 102-nucleotide ribosomal RNA is filed under the name Comparettia speciosa. Its description in RNAcentral is "partial 18S ribosomal RNA". It matches the Rfam family "Eukaryotic small subunit ribosomal RNA", at positions 1730 to 1831 of the family's 1831-position model. The record is from RNAcentral. Lineage: Eukaryota; Viridiplantae; Streptophyta; Magnoliopsida; Asparagales; Orchidaceae.